Molecule: ribosomal RNA, 1328 nt
Filed under: Bacteroides xylanisolvens
Lineage: Bacteria; Pseudomonadati; Bacteroidota; Bacteroidia; Bacteroidales; Bacteroidaceae
Description: bacterial LSU rRNA
Rfam family: Bacterial large subunit ribosomal RNA
Source: RNAcentral
AGUAGUGGCGAGCGAACGGGGAUUAGCCCAAACCAAUGUUGUUACGGCAAUAUUGGGGUUGUAGGACCACGAUGUCGCAAGAACUUUAGUGAGAAGAAUUCUUUGGAAAAUGAAACCAUAGACGGUGAUAGUCCGGUAUUCGAAGCUAAACGAAGCGUAGUGGUAUCCUGAGUAGCGCGGGACACGAGGAAUCUUGCGUGAAUCUGCCGGGACCAUCCGGUAAGGCUAAAUACUCCCGAGAGACCGAUAGCGAACCAGUACUGUGAAGGAAAGGUGAAAAGCACUUCGAAUAGAAGAGUGAAAUAGUCCCUGAAACCGUGCGCCUACAAGCGGUCGGAGCAGCGUAAGUUGUGACGGCGUGCCUUUUGCAUAAUGAACCUACGAGUUACUUUUUCCGGCAAGGUUAAGCAUUUCAAAAUGUGUAGCCGAAGCGAAAGCGAGUCUGAACAGGGCGAUUAGUCGGAAGGAGUAGACGCGAAACCAAGUGAUCUACCCUUGGUCAGGUUGAAGGUUAGGUAACACUAACUGGAGGACCGAACCGAUAAGCGUUGAAAAGCUUCCGGAUGAACUGAGGGUGGGGGUGAAAGGCUAAUCAAACUUGGAGAUAGCUCGUACUCCCCGAAAUGCAUUUAGGUGCAGCCUUGGGAAUUACUACUGUGAGGUAGAGCGACUGAUAAGAUGCGAGGGCUUCACCGCCUAUCAAGUCUUGAUAAACUCCGAAUGCGCAGUAGUUCGAUCCCAGGAGUGAGGGCAUGGGUGCUAAGGUCCAUGUCCUAAAGGAGAAGAAUCCGGACCAUCAGCUAAGGUCCCGAAAUAAUUGCUAAGUUGAACUAACGAAGUCAGAUUGCUAAGACAGCUAGGAUGUUGGCUUGGAAGCAGCCAUUCAUUUAAAGAGUGCGUAACAGCUCACUAGUCGAGGAGUUUGGCGUGGAUAAUAAUCGGGCAUCAAGCAAUUUACCGAAGCUAUGGGAUGUGUAAACAUCGGUAGGGGAGCAUUCCACUCUGCGUCGAAGGUGAAGCGUGAGCUUUGCUGGAGCGUGUGGAAAAGCAAAUGUAGGUAUAAGUAACGAUAAAGGGGGUGAGAAACCCCCUCGCCGAAAGACUAAGGUUUCCUGAUCAACGCUAAUCGGAUCAGGGUUAGUCGGGUCCUAAGGCUCAGCCGAACGGUGAGGCCGAUGGCAGAACAGGUUAAUAUUCCUGUACUACCUUAAGGAGUGACGUGGAGACGGAGCAGUGAUAGCGCCGCGGACUGACGGAAUAGUCCGUUGAAGGGUGUAGAUGUUGAUCUUUGCAGGCAAAUCCACAAAGAGAGUCGAACCUGAUAGUAU